RNAcentral lists this ribosomal RNA (69 nucleotides) under Petasiger phalacrocoracis. RNAcentral's name for it is "partial 28S ribosomal RNA". It matches the Rfam family "Eukaryotic large subunit ribosomal RNA", at positions 1 to 67 of the family's 3401-position model. Lineage: Eukaryota; Metazoa; Platyhelminthes; Trematoda; Plagiorchiida; Echinostomatidae. RNAcentral also lists the same sequence under 2 other names. The record is from RNAcentral.
CCUGACCUCGGUUCAGACGUGAUUACCCGCUGAACUUAAGCAUAUCACUAAGCGGAGGAAAAGAAACUA